Molecule: small RNA, 81 nt
Filed under: Ulvibacter sp. MAR_2010_11
Lineage: Bacteria; Pseudomonadati; Bacteroidota; Flavobacteriia; Flavobacteriales; Flavobacteriaceae
Description: Flavo-1 RNA
Source: RNAcentral
CUUUAUCCAACAGUUUGCGUGAGGGAUUGAAGCGGCAUCCCCCAACCGAGUUGGGGAAUACAGCGAAAAGCCCGACCCGCC